GAUGAACGCUAGCGAUAGGCUUAACACAUGCGAGUCGAGGGGCAGCACAAGGUAGCUUGCUCUCUGGGUGGCGACCGGCGCACGGGUGCGUAACGCGUAUGCAACUUGCCCUAUACAGGAGGAUAACCCGUCGAAAGACGGACUAAUACUGCGUAUGCUCACAACUUGGCAUCAAGUGGUGAGGAAAGAAAUUCGGUAUAGGAUAGGCAUGCGUCCCAUUAGCUUGUUGGUGAGGUAACGGCUCACCAAGGCAACGAUGGGUAGGGGAACUGAGAGGUUUAUCCCCCACACUGGUACUGAGACACGGACCAGACUCCUACGGGAGGCAGCAGUGAGGAAUAUUGGUCAAUGGGCGCGAGCCUGAACCAGCCAAGUCGCGUGAAGGAUGACUGUCUUAUGGAUUGUAAACUUCUUUUAUACGGGAAUAACAAGAGUCACGGGUGACUCCCUGCAUGUACCGUAUGAAUAAGCAUCGGCUAACUCCGUG
RNAcentral lists this ribosomal RNA (487 nucleotides) under uncultured bacterium. Its description in RNAcentral is "partial 16S ribosomal RNA". It matches the Rfam family "Bacterial small subunit ribosomal RNA", at positions 28 to 507 of the family's 1533-position model. The record is from RNAcentral.